Molecule: ribosomal RNA, 120 nt
Filed under: uncultured bacterium
Lineage: Bacteria
Description: partial 16S ribosomal RNA
Rfam family: Bacterial small subunit ribosomal RNA
Source: RNAcentral
CACGCCGUAAACGAUGGAUACUAGGUGUAGGAGGUAUCGACCCCUCCUGUGCCGGAGUUAACGCAAUAAGUAUCCCGCCUGGGAAGUACGAUCGCAAGAUUAAAACUCAAAGGAAUUGAC